Molecule: ribosomal RNA, 503 nt
Filed under: uncultured bacterium
Lineage: Bacteria
Description: partial 16S ribosomal RNA
Rfam family: Bacterial small subunit ribosomal RNA
Source: RNAcentral
AUUGAACGCUGGCGGCGUGCUUAACACAUGCAAGUCGAUCGGUAACAGGUGUAGCAAUACAUGCUGACGAGAGGCGGACGGGUGAGGAAUAUUUGGGAAUCUGCCCAUCAGCGGGGGACAACCCGGGGAAACCCGGGCUAAUACCGCAUACGCUCUACGGAGGAAAGCCGGGGACCGCAAGGCCUGGCACUGAUGGAUGAGCCCAAAUCGGAUUAGCUAGUUGGCGGGGUAACGGCCCACCAAGGCGACGAUCCGUAGCUGGUCUGAGAGGACGAUCAGCCACACCGGAACUGAGACACGGUCCGGACUCCUACGGGAGGCAGCAGUGGGGAAUAUUGGACAAUGGGGGAAACCCUGAUCCAGCGACGCCGCGUGGGUGAAGAAGGCCUGCGGGUUGUAAAGCACUUUAAGCGAGGAGGAGGCUCUUUUGGUUAAUACACAAGAUGAGUGGACGUUACUCGCAGAAUAAGCACCGGCUAACCCUGUGCCAGCCGCCGCCGUAA